UCGAGCGGGCGUAGCAAUACGUCAGCGGCAGACGGGUGAGUAACGCGUGGGAACGUACCUUUUGGUUCGGAACAACACAGGGAAACUUGUGCUAAUACCGGAUAAGCCCUUACGGGGAAAGAUUUAUCGCCGAAAGAUCGGCCCGCGUCAGAUUAGCUAGUUGGUGAGGUAAUGGCUCACCAAGGCGACGAUCAGUAGCUGGUCUGAGAGGAUGAUCAGCCACAUUGGGACUGAGACACGGCCCAAACUCCUACGGGAGGCAGCAGUGGGGAAUAUUGGACAAUGGGCGCAAGCCUGAUCCAGCCAUGCCGCGUGAGUGAUGAAGGCCCUAGGGUUGUAAAGCUCUUUUGUGCGGGAAGAUAAUGACGGUACCGCAAGAAUAAGCCCCGGCUAACUUCGUGCCAGCAGCCGCGGUAAUACGAAGGGGGCUAGCGUUGCUCGGAAUCACUGGGCGUAAAGGGUGCGUA
Molecule: ribosomal RNA, 467 nt
Filed under: uncultured bacterium
Lineage: Bacteria
Description: bacterial SSU rRNA
Rfam family: Bacterial small subunit ribosomal RNA
Source: RNAcentral